This 355-nucleotide ribosomal RNA is filed under the name uncultured bacterium. Its description in RNAcentral is "bacterial SSU rRNA". It matches the Rfam family "Bacterial small subunit ribosomal RNA", at positions 1 to 334 of the family's 1533-position model. The record is from RNAcentral.
GUGAGUAGUUCAGAGUUUGAUCCUGGCUCAGGAUGAACGCUGGCGGCGUGCUUAACACAUGCAAGUCGAACGAAGCACUCUGGAAUGCGCCUUCGGGCAAGUGAAGGAGUGACUUAGUGGCGGACGGGUGAGUAACGCGUGGGUAACCUGCCUCGUACAGGGGGAUAACAGCUGGAAACAGCUGCUAAUACCGCAUAAGACCACAGUACCGCAUGGCACAAGGGUCAAAGAUUUAUCGGUGUAGGGUGAGCUCGCGUCCCAUUAGAUAGUUGGCGGGGUAACGGCCCACCAAGUCGACGAUGGGUAGCCGACCUGAGAGGGUGAUCGGCCACACUGGGACUGAGACACGGCCCAG